AGGAUGAACGCUAGCGGCAGGCCUAAUACAUGCAAGUCGUACGGCAACACAGUUGCGAGCAAUCGGCAACCGGUGGCGAGUGGCGCACGGGUGAGUUAACGCGUAUGUAACCUACCCUUCUCCGGGACAUAACUCCGCGAAAGCGGUGCUAAUAUCCCAUACCAACUCAUCAAGACAUCUUCUUGAGUUGAAAGCAGCAAUGCGGUGAAGGAUGGGCAUGCGUCCCAUUAGCUGGUUGGUGAGGUAAUGGCCCACCAAGGCUACGAUGGGUAGGGGUUCUGAGAGGAAAGCCCCCCACACUGGUACUGAGACACGGACCAGACUCCUACGGGAGGCAGCAGUAAGGAAUAUUGGGCAAUGGUCGAAAGACUGACCCAGCCAUGCCGCGUGCAGGAUGAAGGCCCUAUGGGUUGUAAACUGCUUUUAGCCGGGAAUAAACACCCGUUUUAUAACGGGCCCGAAGGUACCGGCUGAAUAAGCAUCGGCUAACUCCGUG
This 496-nucleotide ribosomal RNA is filed under the name uncultured bacterium. RNAcentral describes it as "bacterial SSU rRNA". It matches the Rfam family "Bacterial small subunit ribosomal RNA", at positions 26 to 507 of the family's 1533-position model. The record is from RNAcentral.